CUUGCACCCAAACCCAAAGGUCUCAUCAUGGCGGUGGUUUGACCUUGUCUGGUGUGCAGACAGGAAGCGGAUCCUUGUCGCCUUUCUCUGACGCCGCAGUGUCUUUGAAAGUGAAUUCAAGGACCAACACGU
Molecule: small nucleolar RNA, 132 nt
Organism: Seriola dumerili (greater amberjack)
Lineage: Eukaryota; Metazoa; Chordata; Actinopteri; Carangiformes; Carangidae
Source: Ensembl